Molecule: long non-coding RNA, 2035 nt
Filed under: Oryctolagus cuniculus (rabbit)
Lineage: Eukaryota; Metazoa; Chordata; Mammalia; Lagomorpha; Leporidae
Description: lncRNA (ENSOCUG00000032049.1)
Rfam family: Maternally expressed 8 exon 2 (bases 1189-1292)
Source: RNAcentral
CGUCUGAGCUUGGCUGGUCGGAAGUCUCCUCAUCUGCUUCCUUCGGGUUAAACACGUCGGCCAGGUCUGAGUACGGGUGCGGCAGGCCGGGGAGCAGGCUCAGGCUGUGCCGCUCCAGGGCGAUGCAUGGCGGGGGCGGGCGGAAGCAGUGCUCCAGGCAGUAGGGAGAGUGGAAGGUGCAGCGGCCCCUGAUCCAGUCGAUGUCGGGCGCGUGGACUCGGAGCCAGCGGACGCCGAGCACCACGGAGAAGUCGGGCGAAGGUAGGACGUCGAAGGCGAUGGACUCCUGGUGGUUCUGGUGGAUGCACACCAGGGGCUCGGUGUGGAGCCAGAUGGGCUCGUCGCCCGUCAGCGAGCCGGCCGCGGACGGCACGGACUGCGGGUAGGGCUUCUGGUACAGCUCCACGUAGUGCUCCUGCGCGAACUUCUCGUCCAUGAAGUUGCCCUCGGCCCCCGAGUCGACCAGGGCCUGGACGGCCACGCUGUGGUAGGGGUUCACGCGCACCAUGAGCAGCAGGAAGAGGUGGGCCCGGUUGAUGGCCGGGUGGGCCUCGCUGGGCAGCCAGCUGCUCACCAUCCACCUCUCGGGCGCAGGUGAGUCAAUCCAGGUCAGGUUCCGCGGGCGGGCCUCGGGGGGCAGCCUCAGCACCGCCCUCCGCUCAGCCAGCUUCUCCUCUAUCUGCAGGACCAGCACAACGAGGCUGUCGAGCGAGUCCGGCUGGGGCACCCGGAAGAGGUAGUGGCGGAUGUCUUCGUUGAGCCCCUGGCACAGGUGGGCCUGCAGGACCUCGUCCGGCCAGCCCAGGGGAAGGAGGCAGCUCCGCCUGUGGAGAUGAGGACCCCACCCCGUCUAGUGCCUGCUGGAGGUGUCCAGGUGCCCUGCCGAGAUGGCCGCUUUCCCCUGGGAAAGGAGCAGCUGCCUGGCCCGGGAACAAAUCAAAGCCGAGGCUCACUGCCCACAAUGGGCAGUGGGUCAGCGGGCUCCCCAGGCCAGUGUGUGGCCCAGCCUGGCCCCUCAGGACAGUCACCUUGAAGGAGACCAGCAUCCCAGACCCACUUGGGGCCCUGCCAGGAGUCUGCGUGGAGAUAACAGAGAUCAGCCCAGCCCUCGCGACAGCACCUCGGCAUCCUGGAGUGCUUUCUCCGGAGGCAGCGGCCCUGGGGGGCGGGCGGCCCGGGAGGCAGGUAUGGCCCCGGCACUGCGGCUGUGCGGUUCCCUUCGCUGAAAACCACCUCGUAUUCUGUGCGCGCUGACAGGCAUCUGUCAGAGGGUCCUGUCGCCUGCUCUGUGGUGUUCGGUGAGUCUGCAGAUUUGCUGUGACACAGCAAGCACACGGCUGGGGGGCCUGGGCUGCCCCCACCGCCCCACACUGCUCUUUACCUCCCUGGCAGCCGCGUGCCGAGCCUAGGAUCCGGGCUGGGGGACGCGGCUGGCGUCUCGGGGGCUGGCUUUCGCCGAGGAGCUGUGAGCCUAAUUUCAGCCGCACGCAGGCGACUGUCUCCUGGCCGGCGCCUUGCCAGAGGCAGACGGGUCUAGCCUGGACAGGAGGGGGUGAUGGUGAGGUCUGGGCCAGGGUCGGUGCUGUGAGCCUGUGCCUGUGGGACAGUUAUUUCUAGAAAGAGGAACGGGGCUGAGAUGCUGAGCCAGCGUCACUCUGGGGAGCAGGGGGCCUCUGCACGCGUGUGCAUGUGUGUGCAGGUGUGUUUGAGGGGGCAGGGUCCCCAAGUGUUUGGGGCUGGGAAGGCGGCUACGCUGCAAGCAGCCAGCCGUCCCGCACAGACCCGCUUUGGAACACGGAGCUGUGGGUCCUUGGCAGAAUCCCCGAGUAUUUCUGUGCCUUGGUUUCCUGAUAUUAAAAAAAAAAAAAAAAAAGAAAGAAAAGAGAAAAGAAACCAUAGUCCCUGUCACACAGGGCUGUCGAGAUCUCAGUGAGAAAAUCGCACACAAAAGUCGUCAGCGCCGUAGCCAGAGCGGAGCGCCCGGCAGCCGUGGCUGCUGCCCCUUCGCCGCGCGGAGGGCUCCAGCCCCUUCCCA